Molecule: ribosomal RNA, 524 nt
Filed under: uncultured bacterium
Lineage: Bacteria
Description: bacterial SSU rRNA
Rfam family: Bacterial small subunit ribosomal RNA
Source: RNAcentral
ACUAAAUAGAUACCCGGGUAGUCCACGCUGUAAACGAUGAGUGCUAGAUGCCGGAUUUUUUCGGUGUCGCAGCUAAACGCAUUAAGCACUCCACCUGGGAAGUACGAUCGCAAGGUUGAAACUCAAAGGAAUUGACGGGGGCCCGGCACAAGCAGUGGAGCAUGUGGUUUAAUUCGAUGCAACGCGAAGAACCUUACCUAGGCUUGAAAAGCUUAUGACCGGCUGUGAAAGCAGCUUUCCCGCAAGGGCAUAAGUACAGGUGCUGCAUGGCUGUCGUCAGCUCGUGCCGUGAGGUGUUGGGUUAAGUCCCGCAACGAGCGCAACCCUUACCAUUAGUUGCCACCGGAGCAAUCCGAGCACUCUAAUGGAACUGCCUACGCAAGUAGUGAGGAAGGUGAGGAUGACGUCAAGUCCGCAUGGCCCUUACGCCUAGGGCUACACACGUGCUACAAUGGCCGCCACAACGGGCAGCAAAAUCGCGAGAUGGAGCGAAUCCCUAAAAAGCGGCCUCAGUUCGGAUUGGA